RNAcentral lists this ribosomal RNA (492 nucleotides) under uncultured bacterium. Its description in RNAcentral is "partial 16S ribosomal RNA". It matches the Rfam family "Bacterial small subunit ribosomal RNA", at positions 29 to 507 of the family's 1533-position model. The record is from RNAcentral.
AGUGAACGCUGGCGGUAGGCCUAACACAUGCAAGUUGAACGGCAGCACAGUAAGAGCUUGCUCUUACGGGUGGCGAGUGGCGGACGGGUGAGGAAUACAUCGGAAUCUACUUUUUCGUGGGGGAUAACGUAGGGAAACUUACGCUAAUACCGCAUACGACCUACGGGUGAAAGCAGGGGAUCUUCGGACCUUGCGCGAUUGAAUGAGCCGAUGUCGGAUUAGCUAGUUGGCGGGGUAAAGGCCCACCAAGGCGACGAUCCGUAGCUGGUCUGAGAGGAUGAUCAGCCGCACUGGAACUGAGACACGGUCCAGACUCCUACGGGAGGCAGCAGUGGGGAAUAUUGGACAAUGGGCGCAAGCCUGAUCCAGCCAUACCGCGUGGGUGAAGAAGGCCUUCGGGUUGUAAAGCCCUUUUGUUGGGAAAGAAAAGCAGCAGGUUAAUACCCCGCUGUUCUGACGGUACCCAAAGAAUAAGCACCGGCUAACUUCGUG